GGAGCAUUUUAUUUCAUUGUCUCCAUCGCGACCCGGUCGGAUCCUUCUCAGCCUCACUCUGAUAAACCCUAAUUUAGAUCUUCGAUUAACUAUCUCAAUCUACGCCUUGAUGUUUGUUAGCGUAUCUAUUUUAUGUUAGGGUUUUAUUGGUGAUGUUCAUUAUCCAUUUAUAUAUGGAAAUGGCUUGCUCCUUGUUCUCGAGCUGUUGACGAUUUUGAAGAUGGAUUACUCAUAUGUUGAGUUUUGAUGCUAUUGCUUGUUCAAUUUCAACGUAUUUGGCUUAUUUUUAAUCUCGCACAUCUAUUUUUGUAUGUUGUUCUGCCUAGUUACUGAGAACUUCUAGGAAAUUAUUGGAAAAGAAGGAAUGCAAUGAACAAAUCUCAUUAUUUUACGCUUGAAUUUAUUUUUUUUAACAUAUUUUUCACUAUGGGUGUUCAUUUCUACUAUGAACAAGAUCUAGGGGUUGUUGGGAAGUUGCAUUUUUCACUUUUGCUCUGCUUGGUGCAGAUUUGUUUGCCUGAUUAAAUUAUGCGGUUCCAGUUAUGUACCAUAUUGUGCUUUGUCUCGCCAUUAAAAAUGGAUUGUAUUGAAUGUAUGAAUUGUAGACACUAAGUUUCCUUCUAAGCUAGACUGAAAAAUAAGCAUUGAUAGUAAUUUGUUCUCAACUAAUGAAUGAGUGAUAUAAAUUAAAACCGAGUACAAGUCAAAGGAAAUGAAUACCUUACAGUUUGUGUUAAAGUGGCAUCCAAAUGGUACGGUGGGGUUUCUUCAUUUACUUAAAUUAUCUACAUUUGUAAUUUAGUUUAGGAGUUAUAUUAAGUAAUGAUGUUUUGCUGGUUUUGUUCCCCUUUUUGAUUUUAAAAAAUAAAAAAUAAAUAAAAAAAACAGUACUUUUAGUUCUAAAAGGAAAGUCUGAUUUCAUAUCUUCUGUUUAGUGGCAUUUGUUUAAAACCGAUUUAAUUGAUUCAUUUGUUGUGCAUCUUAUGAUUAUGUGUGUGCUUUUCCUAAACUCCUUUAUGCAUUAAGAACAAAGAAAAUGUUGAUUGCAGAUUUAUUAGCUUUAACCAUAGAAGUCAAAUGGCUGGCGGUAAGAUUGCCCAUGCCACCUUGAAAGGACCGAGUGUUGUUAAGGAGAUAUGAAUGGGGAUUGUGCUUGGUCUGGCUGCUGGUGGUCUUUGGAAGAUGCAUCACUGGAAUGAACAGAGGAAAGCAUGAGCAUUUUAUGAUUUGCUAGAAAAAGGUGAGAUUAGCGUGGUUGCAGAGGACUAAAAAUUUAUUUCAUGCUUCAACCAUGAUUUUGUGAACAGAUUGAGCAGUAUUCUGACUUUUUUGUCUUGCAUAUUUGGCACUUAAGUUGAGCAUACUUGAUUUGUCUUUGAAGAAUAAAUUUCUUGUUUUGAAUUGUGGAGUACAUAUUUGUUUUGCAUGAAUGUGAGAAGUUUAAUGGCUUUCACCAUUUUGAUGUUUCUGUUGUAAGUUCUGGAAUGGGAUUGCUAUCAGUUUUAAUGCCUGUGCUAUUAUAUAUAUGCCCCUCUAGAACAAGACAUGCAAAUGGAAAAAAUCAGUCCAUAAGUAUGAUAAGCCUGGUAUAUGCCACCUUUACGAGUUCUUCUAUCCUGCUACCUUUCCAAUUUAUCCAUGAAAUGCAAUUCUGCCUUAAUUAACAUCUGAUUGCUAUAGCCAAAUGAGCAACCUGUCCCUGGUGCGAUCACGAGUGCAAGGCAAAAUAGAAUCUCCAGCUUUGUACAAGGAACUCUCUCUCUUUCUGGUCUGGGGGUUGAAUGAAGAAACUUUUGUACGAGCUUUAGAAUUAAUUAUUAAAAUUUUAUGCUUUAGAAUAUGAUAAUACCAAAUAUUUUGUAGAUUUCAUUCGAAC
This 1876-nucleotide unclassified non-coding RNA is filed under the name Hevea brasiliensis (rubber tree). The record is from RNAcentral. Lineage: Eukaryota; Viridiplantae; Streptophyta; Magnoliopsida; Malpighiales; Euphorbiaceae.